GAGGAAAGCUUGCUUUCCUUGAUGACGACUGGCGCACGGGUGAGUAACGCGUAUCCAACCUUCCCAUAACUACGGGAUAACCCGUUGAAAGACGGCCUAAUACCGUAUGAUAUCGUUUGCUGACAUCAAAUAACGAUUAAAGGUUUAGCGGUUAUGGAUGGGGAUGCGUCUGAUUAGCUUGUUGGCGGGGUAACGGCCCACCAAGGCGACGAUCGGUAGGGGUUCUGAGAGGAAGGUCCCCCACAUUGGAACUGAGACACGGUCCAAACUCCUACGGGAGGCAGCAGUGAGGAAUAUUGGUCAAUGGGCGAGAGCCUGAACCAGCCAAGUAGCGUGCAGGAUGACGGCCCUAUGGGUUGUAAACUGCUUUUAUGUGGGGAUAAAGUGCGUGACGUGUCAUGCAUUGCAGGUACCACAUGAAUAAGGACCGGCUAAUUCCGUGCCAGCAGCCGCGGUAAUACGGAAGGUCCGGGCGUUAUCCGGAUUUAUUGGGUUUAAAGGGAGCGUAGGCUGUCUAUUAAGCGUGUUGUGAAAUUUACCGGCUCAACCGGUGGCUUGCAGCGCGAACUGGUCGGCUUGAGUAUGCAGGAAGUAGGCGGAAUUCAUGGUGUAGCGGUGAAAUGCUUAGAUAUCAUGACGAACUCCGAUUGCGCAGGCAGCUUACUGUAGCAUAACUGACGCUGAUGCUCGAAAGUGCGGGUAUCAAACAGGAUUAGAUACCCUGGUAGUCCGCACGGUAAACGAUGGAUGCUC
This 753-nucleotide ribosomal RNA is filed under the name uncultured bacterium. RNAcentral's name for it is "bacterial SSU rRNA". It matches the Rfam family "Bacterial small subunit ribosomal RNA", at positions 71 to 818 of the family's 1533-position model. The record is from RNAcentral.